GGGCCGUAGCUCAGUUGGGAGAGCGCCUGCAUGGCAUGCAGGAGGUCGUCGGUUCAAUCCCGAUCGGGUCCACCA
This 75-nucleotide transfer RNA is filed under the name Planctomycetota bacterium. RNAcentral's name for it is "tRNA-Ala". It matches the Rfam family "tRNA". From Rfam's summary of the family: Transfer RNA (tRNA) molecules are approximately 80 nucleotides in length. RNAcentral also lists the same sequence under 1 other name. The record is from RNAcentral. Lineage: Bacteria; Pseudomonadati; Planctomycetota.